Vibrio metschnikovii CIP 69.14 is the source of this 162-nucleotide non-coding RNA. The record is from Rfam. NCBI's taxonomy places the organism in Bacteria, Pseudomonadati, Pseudomonadota, Gammaproteobacteria, Vibrionales, Vibrionaceae.
GGUUAAGUGACUAAGCGUACACGGUGGAUGCCUAGGCAGUCAGAGGCGAUGAAGGACGUAUUAACUUGCGAUAAGCGUAGAUGAGGCAGUAAAAGCCACUCGAGUCUACGAUUUCCGAAUGGGGAAACCCAAGUGCAUAAGCACUUAUCGCUGCGUGAAUAC